Molecule: ribosomal RNA, 258 nt
Filed under: uncultured bacterium
Lineage: Bacteria
Description: partial 16S ribosomal RNA
Rfam family: Bacterial small subunit ribosomal RNA
Source: RNAcentral
GAUCCUGGCUCAGGAUGAACGCUAGCUACAGGCUUAACACAUGCAAGUCGAGGGGAAACGACAUCGAAAGCUUGCUUUUGAUGGGCGUCGACCGGCGCACGGGUGAGUAACGCGUAUCCAACCUGCCCAUCACUUGGGAAUAACCUUGCGAAAGUAAGACUAAUGACCAAUGUAUAUCCCACGGAAAGGCAUUUCCCGGAAUGGGAUUAAAGAAGUUUUACGUCGGUAGAUGGGAUGGGGAUUCGCGUUCUGAUUAGG